AAAGCUUUAAGUUAAAAUAUUAAACUAUUAACCUUCAAAGUUAAAUAUGUAUAGCGAAGUUAUAUAAGCUUUA
Molecule: transfer RNA, 73 nt
Filed under: Homalogonia obtusa
Lineage: Eukaryota; Metazoa; Arthropoda; Insecta; Hemiptera; Pentatomidae
Description: tRNA-Trp
Source: RNAcentral